GAUGAACGCUGGCGGCAGGCCUAACACAUGCAAGUCGAACGGUAGCACAGAGAGCUUGCUCUCGGGUGACGAGUGGCGGACGGGUGAGUAAUGUCUGGGAAACUGCCCGAUGGAGGGGGAUAACUACUGGAAACGGUAGCUAAUACCGCAUAACGUCGCAAGACCAAAGUGGGGGACCUUCGGGCCUCACACCAUCGGAUGUGCCCAGAUGGGAUUAGCUAGUAGGUGGGGUAAUGGCUCACCUAGGCGACGAUCCCUAGCUGGUCUGAGAGGAUGAGCCGCCACACUGGAACUGAGACACGGUCCAGACUCCUACGGGAGGCAGCAGUGGGGAAUAUUGCACAAUGGGCGCAAGCCUGAUGCAGCCAUGCCGCGUGUAUGAAGAAGGCCUUCGGGUUGUAAAGUACUUUCAGCGGGGAGGAAGGCGGUGAAGUUAAUAACUUCACCGAUUGACGUUACCCGCAGAAGAAGCACCGGCUAACUCCGUGCCAGCCGCCGCAGUAA
This 504-nucleotide ribosomal RNA is filed under the name uncultured bacterium. RNAcentral's name for it is "partial 16S ribosomal RNA". It matches the Rfam family "Bacterial small subunit ribosomal RNA", at positions 28 to 523 of the family's 1533-position model. The record is from RNAcentral.